Molecule: unclassified non-coding RNA, 247 nt
Filed under: uncultured fungus
Lineage: Eukaryota; Fungi
Description: sequence contains ITS1
Source: RNAcentral
GUAUAUAUUCGUGCCGUUACGCACUAUAACAUCAUCCAUUCUAUAACAUACAUGGGUUUAUAUAAAAAAUCAUAGCUAGGGCUUUCGACGUCAUUUCUAACGUCGUGAUCAUCCCCAAGCUACAGGUAGUGCACAGGUGUGAGAGGUAGAUAUGCGAUCGAGGCGUGCACAUGCCCCAAAAGGCCAGCUACAACCCUUCUCAACAUUCGUUUCAUUAAUGAUCCUUCCGCAGGUUCACCUACGGAAA